This 468-nucleotide ribosomal RNA is filed under the name uncultured bacterium. RNAcentral describes it as "partial 16S ribosomal RNA". It matches the Rfam family "Bacterial small subunit ribosomal RNA", at positions 28 to 507 of the family's 1533-position model. The record is from RNAcentral.
GACGGACGCUGGCGGCGUGCUUAACACAUGCAAGUCGAACGGAAAGGCCCUGCUUUUGUGGGGUGCUCGAGUGGCGAACGGGUGAGUAACACGUGAGUAACCUGCCCUUGACUUUGGGAUAACUUCAGGAAACUGGGGCUAAUACCGGAUAGGAGCUCCUGCUGCAUGGUGGGGGGUGGAAAGUUUCGGCGGUUGGGGAUGGACUCGCGGCUUAUCAGCUUGUUGGUGGGGUAGUGGCUUACCAAGGCUUUGACGGGUCGCCGGCCUGUGAGGGUGACCGGCCACAUUGGGACUGAGAUACGGCCCAGACUCCUACGGGAGGCAGCAGUGGGGAAUAUUGCACAAUGGGCGGAAGCCUGAUGCAGCAACGCCGCGUGCGGGAUGACGGCCUUCGGGUUGUAAACCGCUUUCGCCUGUGACGAAGCGUGAGUGACGGUAAUGGGUAAAGAAGCACCGGCUAACUACGUG